Vitrella brassicaformis is the source of this 72-nucleotide non-coding RNA. NCBI's taxonomy places the organism in Eukaryota, Vitrellaceae. The record is from the annotation of a GenBank genome assembly.
GGGCCUUUCCGCGGUUCGAACGCGGGACCUCUCGCACCCAAAGCGAGAAUCAUACCUCUAGACUAAAAGGCC